Sus scrofa (pig) is the source of this 72-nucleotide non-coding RNA. Lineage: Eukaryota; Metazoa; Chordata; Mammalia; Artiodactyla; Suidae. The record is from Rfam.
UCCCUGGUGGUCUAGUGGUUAGGACCUGGCGCUUUCAUGGCUGUGGCCCAGGUUCAAUCCCUGGUUUGGGAA